GGAUUAGAUACCCUGGUAGUCCACGCCGUAAACGAUGGGUGCUAGGUGUGGGAGGUAUCGACCCCUUCCGUGCCGGAGCUAACGCACUAAGCACCCCGCCUGGGGAGUACGGCCGCAAGGCUGAAACUCAAAGGAAUUGACGGGGGCCCGCACAAGCGGUGGAGCAUGUGGUUUAAUUCGAAGCUACGCGAAGAACCUUACCUGGGCUUGACAUCACCGCGAACCUGGCCGAAAGGCUGGGGUGCCCCUUUGGGGAGCGCGGUGACAGGUGCUGCAUGGUUGUCGUCAGCUCGUGCCG
This 298-nucleotide ribosomal RNA is filed under the name uncultured bacterium. RNAcentral's name for it is "partial 16S ribosomal RNA". It matches the Rfam family "Bacterial small subunit ribosomal RNA", at positions 775 to 1067 of the family's 1533-position model. The record is from RNAcentral.